ACAGGUUUGUCAGUGUUCCUUGAAAGCUUGUUUGAGACACUUUCUAAACCUAUUGUGAUAAAGCAUAAAAGCGCCUUCGGACUUACUACAGAUUUGAAGAUCUUUGAAGGAUUACAACAGAAGUUUAUAUUUUGUGCACAGUUUUAGUCGACACACGAAGCAGUAAAGAUGUUCUGGCCAUCACCCGAAGAGAGCGUGAACGUCAACAGCGGCGCCAAAACGCACAACAUGUUCCAAGCAUCAAUGUUUGGAAUGAAACCAGUCAUCCCAGACCUGUCAGUUUCUGUUGAUGAUGCUCAAAAGGCCCAACUGGUCUGCGCAGUCGCAGCGGUCACCUCACACUUCGUCCAUCAGUUUCUCAAGGUGGCUGUAAAUUUAAACCAAUCGGGAGUCGCCUUACAGAAGCUUGCCUGCCAGCCAAUGGCAUCGGAGAUAGCUUUAUGGAAGCAUCAUGAAAGUGUUGGAUAAGACUUACCUCCUUGUUACGAGAUUAAUAUGAUAUUCGUCAAUAUCUCUGUUCAAAAACUGAAGACUGUGUUCAUCCUAAUAUACAUACAGAAGUCAGUAUAAUCAGUGACGACCAAGAUGGACAGGGACUGUCCGCUGUCCGCCAUCAUCUACUUCGUAAAGUCAUCUAUUUAUUCCGGGGAGUCUGGGAGAUGACCAAUGACAGCGUGAGAGACAGUUGUUGAUAGCAUCGACCCACGAAGUCUGUUCCCACUGCAAUGGGGAACUAUUCAUGUUCAUUUCACAUUUGUCAAUAUUUGUGGUGCUAUAGCUGAACUUUGAACUUUGAAUUCAUUUCAUGGCAUUACGACUGAGGAUGGCCCUUUCAGAUACCUUUGUUCAAAUGUGAUAAGAAUAUUCUAAAAUAACACCGGCUACUUAUUAAGUUUAAUUUCACACUGUUGACCAAAAAGUGUUGUCAGUUUCAGCAAAGUUUCUGUGAUAUUUGAUACGUUUUAUGUCGUGUACUGCUGUCGUAUGGAUAAACGAGGGUUCCCUGCAUGAACAUAAAGCCUAUUAUGGAGACUGGAUCUGGAAAAGAAUCAGUAUUAAAAAUAAAUUUCCCUUAAGAAUAAAUACCAUGCUAUUAAUUAAAAACAGAAUGAACUGAUAAGGUAAAUGACCCUCGUUCAUCCAUAUUCGUACAGUUUUGAACGGUUACCGCAAGGAUUCGAUACAUUUUCCUAGUCCGAAAACUCACUUAUCCGGACAGGCGGAAAAUCAUUAGUGCGGCGUUUGUCUAUAACUGUUUGAAAAAGAUCAGUGUGGAUAAGCUGUUCGGUUAAAAGAGCAAUAUCUUGGAUCAAAACGUUUGUUUCGUUUGAGAAACAUUUGACAUAUUGUCAAUAACAAAAAUACAAAGUGAAAAGUAAAUGUAUUCUGACUGGUGUUAAUUUCAUGAAAUCCACAGAUCUGAUAUUUACAUGUCUUUUUGUCUCAUUGAACAAAUCUUUGAUGUUUUGUCAGAGUUGUCUGUCAUAAUAGCCACAUGUGUCCAGUACAUAUUAUUUAAGACGGCAUUGUUCAUUUCAUUUGGUGUUUCGUCCGAUCAUGUGAAACGUUAUUUAUGUAUAUAAAAUAGCAUCCUCAUAAAGGUCACUCUAGAACGGUCAUUUUAUUUGUAGAACAUGUUUUCAAUAAACACAUAAAUGACA
Haliotis rubra (blacklip abalone) is the source of this 1661-nucleotide long non-coding RNA. RefSeq lists it as uncharacterized. Lineage: Eukaryota; Metazoa; Mollusca; Gastropoda; Lepetellida; Haliotidae. The transcript is spliced from 3 exons. The record is from RefSeq and is a predicted model, not a curated record.